Molecule: long non-coding RNA, 263 nt
Organism: Oreochromis niloticus (Nile tilapia)
Lineage: Eukaryota; Metazoa; Chordata; Actinopteri; Cichliformes; Cichlidae
Exons: 3
Source: RefSeq, a predicted model, not a curated record
UGUUUGAAGACAUGAUGCAGAAUAUAAGACAGGGAAUACAUGAUUAACCACCACUGUACACGGAGCAGAGACAAAUGGCCUUGACAAUGAAUCAUCCUGAGUUUAUGGUUGUUUUUCUAAUCCUUUCAAUUUACUGGGCUGGUACUGAGAGUCAAACACUGACUGAGUCUGAAUCAGUGGUUAAAAGGCCUGGAGACUCCCACAGACUGACCUGUACAUACUCAGGGUUCAGCAGUGAUAUUGAUGCAGCUUGGAUCAGACAA